GAUGAACGCUGGCGGCGUGCCUAAUACAUGCAAGUCGAGCGAACGGACGAGACGCUUGCUUCUCUGAUGUUAGCGGCGGACGGGUGAGUAACACGUGGAUAACCUACCUAUAAGACUGGGAUAACUUCGGGAAACCGGAGCUAAUACCGGAUAAUAUUAUGAACCGCAUGGUUCAUAAGUGAAAUACGGUCUUGCUGUCACUUAUAGAUGGAUCCGCGCUGCAUUAGCUAGUUGGUAAGGUAACGGCUUACCAAGGCAACGAUGCAUAGCCGACCUGAGAGGGUGAUCGGCCACACUGGAACUGAGACACGGUCCAGACUCCUACGGGAGGCAGCAGUAGGGAAUCUUCCGCAAUGGGCGAAAGCCUGACGGAGCAACGCCGAGUGAGUGAUGAAGGUCUUCGGAUCGUAAAACUCUGUUAUUAGGGAAGAACAUAUGUGUAAGUAACUGUGCACAUCUUGACGGUACCUAAUCAGAAAGCCACGGCUAACUACGUG
RNAcentral lists this ribosomal RNA (497 nucleotides) under uncultured bacterium. Its description in RNAcentral is "partial 16S ribosomal RNA". It matches the Rfam family "Bacterial small subunit ribosomal RNA", at positions 28 to 507 of the family's 1533-position model. The record is from RNAcentral.